AAUGAACAGCACAGACCUUGGAUAAAUAUGGGGUAGGUUGGUUUUGGAAUGGUGAAAAACAACAUUUAUAAAUGAAUGAUUUUUGCUUUUUUUUGUUCAUAUUAAGUGUCUCAACCUGUAUUGACACCCACAGAAGCACGAUCAAGAAUUGUACAUCUGAAAACUGCGGCAGUCAGAACCGAACACGGAGAAGCAGCGUCCAGUUCUUCAGCUUCACGUAUCUGGAACAAAUUCCCAGAGAGCUGCAGGUGUGUUCACUUCCCUCAUGUCUUCCCAGCCUUAGCAGCUGCCCUUCCCGAUUGUGUCCACCUGUGUUUCAUUAACAUCCCUUCCCCUUGUGUACUUAAGGGGUGUGCACUGUGUUGUUUGCGCGCCAGUUUGUCUUGUACUAUUUGUCAAGUGUGGCAGGACCUUUGUGCCAAACUAGUUAGUGGUUUCCUGGUCAAGCCUUCGACCCCGAUUACCCUUUCUGGAUGCCGUCUCUUGUCUCUUGCCUUCUACUAGUUUGUGUUGCAAACCCUGCCUGUCCUUGACCAUGUUUUUGUAAAUAAUGCUUCCUGUGACAUAAUCCCCAAGUUGUGAACCUUAAAAACAGUAUAGUGAAUCUAUUGUAAGCUUCUUUAUUAUUUAGUGUCG
This is a long non-coding RNA of Gasterosteus aculeatus aculeatus (three-spined stickleback), 636 nucleotides long. The record is from Ensembl. NCBI's taxonomy places the organism in Eukaryota, Metazoa, Chordata, Actinopteri, Perciformes, Gasterosteidae.